GAUGAAGAACGUAGCGAAAUGCGAUAAGUAAUGUGAAUUGCAGAAUUCAGUGAAUCAUCGAAUCUUUGAACGCACAUUGCGCCCCUUGGUAUUCCGAGGGGCAUGCCUGUACGAGCGUCAUUAUAACCCUCAAGCUCAGCUUGGUGUUGGGGCCUGCUGCACUGGCAGCCCUUAAAAUCAGUGGCGGCGCCAUCUGGCUCUAAGCGUAGUAAUUCUUCUCGCUAUGGAGUCCUGGUGGAUGCUUGCCAUCAACCCCCAAUUUUUCUAUGGUUGACCUCGGAUCAGGUAGGGAUACCCGCUGAACUUAAGCAUAUCAAUAAGCGGAGGA
Molecule: unclassified non-coding RNA, 328 nt
Filed under: soil metagenome
Description: partial contains 5.8S ribosomal RNA, internal transcribed spacer 2, and large subunit ribosomal RNA
Rfam family: 5.8S ribosomal RNA (bases 1-120)
Source: RNAcentral